Molecule: ribosomal RNA, 238 nt
Filed under: uncultured bacterium
Lineage: Bacteria
Description: partial 16S ribosomal RNA
Rfam family: Bacterial small subunit ribosomal RNA
Source: RNAcentral
ACAGUGGCGGACGGGUGAGUAACGCGUAGGAAUCUACCUUCAGGUGGGGGACAACUCGGGGAAACUCGAGCUAAUACCGCAUAAUACCUAAGGGUCAAAGUGGGGGAUCUUCGGACCUCACGCCGGAAGAGGAGCCUGCGUUGGAUUAGCUAGUUGGUGAGGUAAGGCUCACCAAGGCUACGAUCUAUAGCUGGUCUGAGAGGACGAUCAGCCACACUGGAACUGAGACACGGUCCAG